Molecule: long non-coding RNA, 987 nt
Organism: Planococcus citri (citrus mealybug)
Lineage: Eukaryota; Metazoa; Arthropoda; Insecta; Hemiptera; Pseudococcidae
Exons: 2
Source: RefSeq, a predicted model, not a curated record
UAGAUUUGCGGUUGCGGUGCAGUUAAAUCUGAAAUUCUGAACCUGAAAUUAGCGCUCCUGUGAGUGUUCUGCAAACUAACACGUGUAAUGAACUUUGGUUGAAUUUUUUCAUUUUUUUUAAUCAAUCAAACGUAAUGUGGCAAACUGGCAAUGUAAGUUGGCUGUAAAAUUUUCGUUUUCUUACGCAGAAAUAUAAAUAAUAUUUAAAAUGUCGGAUACUUCUGCUUGGAAAUAUGCAUAUGACCAAAUGCUUGUUUCGUAUACUGAAGUCUGCAGAGCGAAAAUUAAUGCAGAAAUGAAGUUGAAAGAGAUCCAAGAAAAAUAUAAUAAAGUAUACGGCGCCGAAGUUGUUCGCAGUGAGAUAGAGAACAGAGAGAUGCUUUGGUGUGAUCGCAGCUUCAAGGAAGAUCGAUCGUCAUUCACCGGUAUGGAUUCAAUUGCAAUAUCGUAUGAAGUUAGGAUGCAGAAAUGGUUCUAUAUGAUGACGACUUGCACCGAUAGUGGAGUUAUUUUUCUAAGAAAGUUGAUCUUACUUCAUCAUCUCGAUCCCAAGUAUUAUAAAAACUUCAAAGGUGCAUCCUAUAAAUCAGUCCUUAAAUUAUCCGGUUAUUUUAAAUUCGUUGAAUUGAACAAGUUGCGCAUCGAACAUUUGCAAAAGAAUUAUCAGAAACAGGAUUCUUUUAUUUGCGCUUUGCUAGAUUACCUAUUAAAUAAUCAAUAUCUAGAUGGAAAACCACCGACUCAUGAUACUUUUACUCCUUGGUACCUUCGGCAGUUUUCAGAAUUCGCCAAGAACGUUGCCGAAAUUCACUCGGUAAUAUGCCAUAAAAUUCAUAGAGCUCGAUUUGCAAAAGACGAUAUUGAUAUCCCAAUAGAAUACGAUAUUUUAGAAAAGCCGGAACUGAAAGUUGUUAUUAGUUUUAUUAUGUCCUUUUACGAGUAGAAGAAUUUGUAAUCGAUUGAAAAUACCCACAUUUUCAAGCACGA